This 501-nucleotide ribosomal RNA is filed under the name uncultured bacterium. RNAcentral describes it as "bacterial SSU rRNA". It matches the Rfam family "Bacterial small subunit ribosomal RNA", at positions 18 to 509 of the family's 1533-position model. The record is from RNAcentral.
CCUGGCUCAGAACGAACGCUGGCGGCGCGUCUUAAGCAUGCAAGUCGAACGGCAAGGGCAGCAAUGCCCCUAGAGUGGCGGACUGGUGAGUAACGCGUGGGUGACCUACCCUUGAGAUGGGGAUAGCCAUUAGAAAUAGUGGAUAAUACCGAAUACGCUCUGGAUGCUAUGGCGACCAGAGGAAAUCAGGCUACGGCCUGGCUCGAGGAUGGGCCCGCGUCCCAUUAGCUAGUUGGUGAGGUAACGGCCCACCAAGGCGACGAUGGGUAUCCGGCCUGAGAGGGUGUACGGACACAUUGGGACUGAGAUACGGCCCAAACUCCUACGGGAGGCAGCAGCUAAGAAUAUUCCGCAAUGGACGAAAGUCUGACGGAGCGACGCCGCGUGGAUGAAGAAGGCCGAAAGGUUGUAAAAUCCUUUUGUCGAUGAGGAAUAAGUGUGGGAGGGAAUGCCCGCAUGAUGACUGUAGUCGGUGAAUAAGCCACGGCUAAACUACGUGCC